RNAcentral lists this ribosomal RNA (484 nucleotides) under uncultured bacterium. Its description in RNAcentral is "partial 16S ribosomal RNA". It matches the Rfam family "Bacterial small subunit ribosomal RNA", at positions 30 to 507 of the family's 1533-position model. The record is from RNAcentral.
AUUGAACGCUGGCGGCAGGCCUAACACAUGCAAGUCGAGCGGAUGAAGGGAGCUUGCUCCUGGAUUCAGCGGCGGACGGGUGAGUAAUGCCUAGGAAUCUGCCUGGUAGUGGGGGAUAACGUCCGGAAACGGGCGCUAAUACCGCAUACGUCCUGAGGGAGAAAGUGGGGGAUCUUCGGACCUCACGCUAUCAGAUGAGCCUAGGUCGGAUUAGCUAGUUGGUGGGGUAAAGGCCUACCAAGGCGACGAUCCGUAACUGGUCUGAGAGGAUGAUCAGUCACACUGGAACUGAGACACGGUACAGACUGCUACGGGAGGCAGCAGUGGGGAAUAUUGGACAAUGGGCGAAAGCCUGAUCCAGCCAUGCCGCGUGUGUGAAGAAGGUCUUCGGAUUGUAAAGCACUUGAAGUUGGGAGGAAGGGCAGUAAGUUAAUACCUUGCUGUUUUGACGUUACCAACAGAAUAAGCACCGGCUAACUUCGUG